This 2924-nucleotide ribosomal RNA is filed under the name Staphylococcus aureus. Its description in RNAcentral is "23S ribosomal RNA". It matches the Rfam family "Bacterial large subunit ribosomal RNA". The record is from RNAcentral. Lineage: Bacteria; Bacillati; Bacillota; Bacilli; Caryophanales; Staphylococcaceae.
UAGAUUAAGUUAUUAAGGGCGCACGGUGGAUGCCUUGGCACUAGAAGCCGAUGAAGGACGUUACUAACGACGAUAUGCUUUGGGGAGCUGUAAGUAAGCUUUGAUCCAGAGAUUUCCGAAUGGGGAAACCCAGCAUGAGUUAUGUCAUGUUAUCGAUAUGUGAAUACAUAGCAUAUCAGAAGGCACACCCGGAGAACUGAAACAUCUUAGUACCCGGAGGAAGAAAAAGAAAAUUCGAUUCCCUUAGUAGCGGCGAGCGAAACGGGAAGAGCCCAAACCAACAAGCUUGCUUGUUGGGGUUGUAGGACACUCUAUACGGAGUUACAAAGGACGACAUUAGACGAAUCAUCUGGAAAGAUGAAUCAAAGAAGGUAAUAAUCCUGUAGUCGAAAAUGUUGUCUCUCUUGAGUGGAUCCUGAGUACGACGGAGCACGUGAAAUUCCGUCGGAAUCUGGGAGGACCAUCUCCUAAGGCUAAAUACUCUCUAGUGACCGAUAGUGAACCAGUACCGUGAGGGAAAGGUGAAAAGCACCCCGGAAGGGGAGUGAAAUAGAACCUGAAACCGUGUGCUUACAAGUAGUCAGAGCCCGUUAAUGGGUGAUGGCGUGCCUUUUGUAGAAUGAACCGGCGAGUUACGAUUUGAUGCAAGGUUAAGCAGUAAAUGUGGAGCCGUAGCGAAAGCGAGUCUGAAUAGGGCGUUUAGUAUUUGGUCGUAGACCCGAAACCAGGUGAUCUACCCUUGGUCAGGUUGAAGUUCAGGUAACACUGAAUGGAGGACCGAACCGACUUACGUUGAAAAGUGAGCGGAUGAACUGAGGGUAGCGGAGAAAUUCCAAUCGAACCUGGAGAUAGCUGGUUCUCUCCGAAAUAGCUUUAGGGCUAGCCUCAAGUGAUGAUUAUUGGAGGUAGAGCACUGUUUGGACGAGGGGCCCCUCUCGGGUUACCGAAUUCAGACAAACUCCGAAUGCCAAUUAAUUUAACUUGGGAGUCAGAACAUGGGUGAUAAGGUCCGUGUUCGAAAGGGAAACAGCCCAGACCACCAGCUAAGGUCCCAAAAUAUAUGUUAAGUGGAAAAGGAUGUGGCGUUGCCCAGACAACUAGGAUGUUGGCUUAGAAGCAGCCAUCAUUUAAAGAGUGCGUAAUAGCUCACUAGUCGAGUGACACUGCGCCGAAAAUGUACCGGGGCUAAACAUAUUACCGAAGCUGUGGAUUGUCCUUUGGACAAUGGUAGGAGAGCGUUCUAAGGGCGUUGAAGCAUGAUCGUAAGGACAUGUGGAGCGCUUAGAAGUGAGAAUGCCGGUGUGAGUAGCGAAAGACGGGUGAGAAUCCCGUCCACCGAUUGACUAAGGUUUCCAGAGGAAGGCUCGUCCGCUCUGGGUUAGUCGGGUCCUAAGCUGAGGCCGACAGGCGUAGGCGAUGGAUAACAGGUUGAUAUUCCUGUACCACCUAUAAUCGUUUUAAUCGAUGGGGGACGCAGUAGGAUAGGCGAAGCGUGCGAUUGGAUUGCACGUCUAAGCAGUAAGGCUGAGUAUUAGGCAAAUCCGGUACUCGUUAAGGCUGAGCUGUGAUGGGGAGAAGACAUUGAGUCUUCGAGUCGUUGAUUUCACACUGCCGAGAAAAGCCUCUAGAUAGAAAAUAGGUGCCCGUACCGCAAACCGACACAGGUAGUCAAGAUGAGAAUUCUAAGGUGAGCGAGCGAACUCUCGUUAAGGAACUCGGCAAAAUGACCCCGUAACUUCGGGAGAAGGGGUGCUCUUUAGGGUUAACGCCCAGAAGAGCCGCAGUGAAUAGGCCCAAGCGACUGUUUAUCAAAAACACAGGUCUCUGCUAAACCGUAAGGUGAUGUAUAGGGGCUGACGCCUGCCCGGUGCUGGAAGGUUAAGAGGAGUGGUUAGCUUCUGCGAAGCUACGAAUCGAAGCCCCAGUAAACGGCGGCCGUAACUAUAACGGUCCUAAGGUAGCGAAAUUCCUUGUCGGGUAAGUUCCGACCCGCACGAAAGGCGUAACGAUUUGGGCACUGUCUCAACGAGAGACUCGGUGAAAUCAUAGUACCUGUGAAGAUGCAGGUUACCCGCGACAGGACGGAAAGACCCCGUGGAGCUUUACUGUAGCCUGAUAUUGAAAUUCGGCACAGCUUGUACAGGAUAGGUAGGAGCCUUUGAAACGUGAGCGCUAGCUUACGUGGAGGCGCUGGUGGGAUACUACCCUAGCUGUGUUGGCUUUCUAACCCGCACCACUUAUCGUGGUGGGAGACAGUGUCAGGCGGGCAGUUUGACUGGGGCGGUCGCCUCCUAAAAGGUAACGGAGGCGCUCAAAGGUUCCCUCAGAAUGGUUGGAAAUCAUUCAUAGAGUGUAAAGGCAUAAGGGAGCUUGACUGCGAGACCUACAAGUCGAGCAGGGUCGAAAGACGGACUUAGUGAUCCGGUGGUUCCGCAUGGAAGGGCCAUCGCUCAACGGAUAAAAGCUACCCCGGGGAUAACAGGCUUAUCUCCCCCAAGAGUUCACAUCGACGGGGAGGUUUGGCACCUCGAUGUCGGCUCAUCGCAUCCUGGGGCUGUAGUCGGUCCCAAGGGUUGGGCUGUUCGCCCAUUAAAGCGGUACGCGAGCUGGGUUCAGAACGUCGUGAGACAGUUCGGUCCCUAUCCGUCGUGGGCGUAGGAAAUUUGAGAGGAGCUGUCCUUAGUACGAGAGGACCGGGAUGGACAUACCUCUGGUGUACCAGUUGUCGUGCCAACGGCAUAGCUGGGUAGCUAUGUGUGGACGGGAUAAGUGCUGAAAGCAUCUAAGCAUGAAGCCCCCCUCAAGAUGAGAUUUCCCAACUUCGGUUAUAAGAUCCCUCAAAGAUGAUGAGGUUAAUAGGUUCGAGGUGGAAGCAUGGUGACAUGUGGAGCUGACGAAUACUAAUCGAUCGAAGACUUAAUCAA